GUGUGUGGAGGGCUAGUGGAGGAGUGUAGAGGGCUAGUGGAGGUGUGUAGAGGGCUAGUGGAAGAGUGUGGAAGGCUAGUGGAGGAGUGUGUAGAGAGCUAGUGGAGGAGUGUGGAGGGCUAGUGGAGGAGUGUGGAGGGCUAGUGGAGGAGUGUGUAGAGGGCUAGUGGAGGACUGUGGAGAGGGCAAGUGGAGGAGUGUAGAGAGCUAGUGGAGGAGUGUGGAGGGCUAGUGGAGGAGGGUGGAGGGCUAGUGGAGGAGUGUAGAGGGCUAGUGGAGGAGGAAAGAGGGCUAGUUGAGGAGUGUAGAGGGCUAGUGGAGGAGUGUGGAGGGCUAGUGGAGGAGAGUGUGGAGGGCUAGUGGAGGAGUGUAGAGGGCUAGUGGAGGAGUGUGUAGAGGGCUUGUGGAGGAGUAAAGAGGGCUAGUGGAGGAGAGUGUAGAGGGCUAGUGGAGGUGUGUAGAGGGCUAGUGGAAGAGUGUGGAAGGCUAGUGGAGGAGUGUGUAGAGAGCUAGUGGAGGAGUGUGGAGGGCUAGUGGAGGAGUGUGGAGGGCGAGUGGAGGAGUGUAUAGAGGGCUAGUGGAGGAGUGUAUAGGGCAAGUGGAGGAGUGUGUAGAGUGCUAGUGGAGGACUGUGGAGAGGGCAAGUGGAGGAGUGUAUAGUGCUAGUGGAGGAGUGUGGAGGGCUAGUAGAGGAGGGUGGAGGGCUAGAGGAGGAGUGUGUAGAGGGCUAGUGGAGGAAUGUGGAGGGAUAGUGGAGGAGUGUUUAGAGGGCUAGUGGAGGAGUGUAGAGGGCUAGUGGAGGAGAGUAGAGGGCCAGUGGAGGAGUGUUGAGGGCUAGUGCAGGAGUGUGCAGGGCUAGUGGAGGAGUGUGUAGAGGGCUAGUGGAGGAGUGUGUAUAGGGCUAGUGGAGGAGUGAGUAGAGGGCUAGUGUAGGAGUGUAGAGGGCUUGUGGAGGAGUAAAGAGGGCUAGUGGAGGAGUGUGUAGAGGGCUAGUGGAGGAGUGUGUAGAGGGCUAGUGGAGGACUGUGGAGAGGGCAAGUGGAGGACUGUAGAGAGCUAGUGGAGGAGUGUGGAGGGCUAGUGGAGGAGGGUGGAGGGCUAGUGGAGGAGUGUAGAGGGCUAGUGGAGGAGUGUGGAGGGCUAGUGGAGGAGUGUGUAGAGGGCUAGUGGAGGUGUGUGGAGGGCUAGUGGAGGAGUGUGGAGGGCUAGUGGAGGAGUGUGUAGAGGGCUAGUGGAGGAGUGUGGAGGGCUAGUGGAGGAGUGUAGAGGGCUAGUGGAGGAGUGUGUAGAGGGCUAGUGGAGGAGUGUAUGGAGCUAAUGGAGGAGUGUGUAGAGGGCUAGUGGAGGAGUGUAGAGGGCUAGUGGAGGUGUGUAGAGGACUAGUGGAGGAGUGUAGAGGGCUAGUGGAGGUGUGUAUAGGGCUAGUGGAGGAGUGUAGAGGGCUAGUGGAGCAGUGUGGAGGGCUAGUGGAGGAGGGUGGAGGGCUAGUGGAGGAGUGUAGAGGGCUAGUGGAGGAGUGUGGAGGGCUAGUGGAGGAGUGUGUAGAGGGCUAGUGGAGGAGUGUGGAGGGCUAGUGGGGGAGUGUGGCGGGCUAGUGGAGGAGUGUAGAGGGCUAGUGGAGGAGUGUGUAGAUGGCUAGUGGAGGUGUGUGGAGGGCUAGUGGAGAAGUGUAGAGGGCUAGUGGAGGAGUGUGUAGAGAGCUAGUGGAGGAGUGUGGAGGGCUAGUGGAGGAGUGUGGAGGGCUAGUGGAGGAGUGUAUAGAGGGCUAGUGGAGGAGUGUAUAGGGCUAGUGGAGGAGUGUGUAGAGGGCUAGUGGAGGACUGUGGAGAGGGCAAGUGGAGGAGUGUAGAGAGCUAGUGGAUGAGUGUGGAGGGCUAGUGGAGGAGUUGUGAGAGGGCUAGUGGAGGUGUGUGGAGGGCUAGUGGAGGAGUGUAGAGGCCUAGUGGAGGUGUGUAGAGGGCUAGUGGAGGAGUGUGGAGGGCUAGUGGAGGAGUGUGUAGAGAGCUAGUGGAGGAGUGUUUAGGGCUAGUGAAGGAGUGUAGAGGGCUAGUGGAGGAGUGUAGAGGGCUAGUGGAGGAGUGUGUGGAGGGCUAGUGUAGGAGUGUAGAGGGCUAGUGGAGGUGUGUAGAGGGCUAGUGGAGGAUUGUGGAGGGCUAGUGGAGAAGUGUAGAGGGCUAGUGGAGGUGUGUGGAAGGCUAGUGGAGGUGUGUGGAAGGCUAGUGGAGAAGUGUAGAGGGCUAGUGGAGGUGUGUAGAGGGCUAGUGGAGGAUUGUGGAGGGCUAGUGGAGGAGUGUGUAGAAAGCUAGUGGAGGAGUGUGGAGGGCUAGUGGAGGAAGGUGGAGGGCUAGUAGAGGAGUGUAGAGGGCUAGUGGAGGAGUGUGGAGGGCUAGUGGAGGAGUAUUUAGAGGGCUAGUGUAGGUGUUUUGAGGGCUAGUGGGGGAGUGUGAAGGGCUAGUGGAGGAGAGUGUGGAGGGCUAGUGGAGGAGUGUGUAGAGGGCUAGUGGAGGAGUGUGUAUAGGGCUAGUGGAGGAGUGUGUAGAGGGCUAGUGGAGGAGUGUAGAGGGCUAGUGCAGGUGUGUAGAGGGCUAGUGGAGGAGUGUGGAGGGCUAGUGGAGGAGUGUGUAGAGAGCUAGUGGAGGAGUGUGUAGAGGGCUAGUGGAGGAGUGUAGAGGGCUAGUGGAGGAGUGUGUAGAGGGCUAGUGGAGGACUGUGGAGAGGGCAAGUGGAGGAGUGUAGAGAGCUAGUGGAGGAGUGUGUAGAGAAGGCAUGGAAUAGAGACAUGAAUAGGCUCACUAGCCUCCCUGGCCUCUCAUGCCCCCCCUCGACCUUGUUAUUCCUUCCUGUCCCGCUCUCCCUCUCCUCCUCCCUCUCCCUGGUGGUGUCCAUGGAUUGAUGAGGAAUUGAAAAACUGUAUAGUUGAAAG
This 2923-nucleotide long non-coding RNA is filed under the name Salmo salar (Atlantic salmon). RNAcentral describes it as "lncRNA (ENSSSAG00000088617.1)". The record is from RNAcentral. Lineage: Eukaryota; Metazoa; Chordata; Actinopteri; Salmoniformes; Salmonidae.